UACGUAGGGUGCAAGCGUUGUCCGGAAUUAUUGGGCGUAAAGAGCUCGUAGGCGGUUCGUCGCGUCGGCUGUGAAAUCCCGAGGCUCAACCUCGGGUCUGCAGUCGAUACGGGCGGACUGGAGUUCGGCAGGGGAGACUGGAAUUCCUGGUGUAGCGGUGAAAUGCGCAGAUAUCAGGAGGAACACCGGUGGCGCAAGCGGCUAACUGGACGGGCACUGACGCUGAGACACGAAAGCGUGGGGAUCAAACGGG
This 253-nucleotide ribosomal RNA is filed under the name uncultured bacterium. RNAcentral describes it as "partial 16S ribosomal RNA". It matches the Rfam family "Bacterial small subunit ribosomal RNA", at positions 524 to 776 of the family's 1533-position model. The record is from RNAcentral.